NUCUAAUGCAGGUGCUUUUUAUGUUAAUGGACUUAUUUCACUUAACUAUAAUAGAUCAUUAUUAUUUGGUGAUGCUGUAUUGUGUAGAAUCAAUUCGCAAUGCAGACAAAGGAAUACAUAUGUUCCUAGAUCUUUAUUUGACAUAUGUUUAAGAAACAUUUGUAAGCCUUACUUUAUUAAAUUAUGGACUUAUGUGGAUUGUCAUCAACACUUACCUAAGAUUGGUUAAUAUUGUAGAAUUUCUUGAGGAACUAUGUCUGUGGACCAGAUAAUCAUCAAACGGAUAUUAGGACGCAAGCUGAGGAACGACCUAUUAUUCAGGAAGGACCGGAUGACUCCAAUUCCGAUGUUCUCUGAAAAAGAUGUUAAUUAUCCAUUUAUGAUAGUUCACAAUUUGGUGAUAGAUUUGGAUCUAGUAAAGGAUUUGGAUUUGGACAUUUAUUUACGAUUGAAACAACUUUUCGUUCCAAGAGUGAAAGCUCCCUUCUGCUGUGAGUUUCGUGCUAUGCUUCAGCCUUUUCUGCACUCCUGUGUGGUCGGUGGCUGCAUGGAUGCCGUGGAUUGCAUCUUCCAAUCUGAAGAUUGGUUUGCAGGGCCGCGACAGCCCAUACGUUUCCCCGAGGACGGGCAACUUCCGAAUGGACGACCUAAGACAGGGGACCGUACUUGUCGCUUUGAUACAUCGGCACCAUCAGUACCAUCGGCGCCUCCGUAUCAAGGGGGUGGAAUGACAGGAGUAAACAUCAAGGAUGAACAAACAACAUGAAUCAGCAAAAGGACUUGUUUUGGACUUGUUUUGGACUUUGCAGUGACUAAGUAA
Molecule: long non-coding RNA, 820 nt
Filed under: Marmota monax (woodchuck)
Lineage: Eukaryota; Metazoa; Chordata; Mammalia; Rodentia; Sciuridae
Source: RNAcentral